Long non-coding RNA from Pseudopipra pipra, 1970 nucleotides. RefSeq lists it as uncharacterized. The record is from RefSeq and is a predicted model, not a curated record. NCBI's taxonomy places the organism in Eukaryota, Metazoa, Chordata, Aves, Passeriformes, Pipridae. The transcript is spliced from 4 exons.
CUCCCUUCCUCUCUCUCUUUCUCCCUUCCCUUUUUUCCUUUCUUUCCCCCUCCCUCCCUUUUUUCUUUUCUUUCUUUCUUCCCUCCUCCUCUCCUCCCCCUUCCUCCCUCUCUCUCUCCCCCUCCUUCCCUUCCUUCCUUCCCCUCUUUCUCCCUUCCUCCAUUCCUUUCUCCCUCCCUCCCUUCAGCGUCGCCCUCGGGUUCAGUGAGGAGCCGAGCGGGAGCUGCCCCGGCUGCGGCAGCAGUAGCAGAAGGGGAUAGGAACUGCGGAGUUGAGCAGGUGUGAAGGUCUCCUGCAGAGAGAUCAGCCCAACCAAAGUGGAAACCAGACUGACUGCCUGUCUUCAGCCACACUGCCUCACCACUGCCUCCUCUGGACACAGCUGAAUGCCUCAGGACCUUCCAAAACAGUUAAGGCACUGAAUGGGAGAAGAGUGCAGAAAGCUUGGCAGAUGGACCCAAGCAGCAUAUGCUGUGUUCACCUAAAGCAUGACAUGGACUGAAAUGAACUCAGGACAAAGGAUGGUCAGAGGAGUCAGGAGGAGGAAGAUGCUUUAGCUGACACUGGGUAUGGAAGUACCUGCUGGAUAUGGAGCAGGAUCUGACUGGGGGAAGCCAGAAUCAGGUUUGAUAAUUUCUUAUAGCGAAGAAGAUCAUCAGGCUUCUGUUGAAGAGGUGUGAUGGGCAGAAGAGGAGGUAGGGAGCUGAACCACUUUUUAAAUGAGGUGUUGGGAAGCUGCUGGCAGCUGUACAGUCUGUCAUCACUACCUUGCAUAUCUCUUUGUGGCCAAUUCACUCUCUCAUUUUAUGUUUACGUGGGAGAAGAGAGUAUGAAAAAUGUUAGCUUUAAUUAAGUCAGCAAUAUUACUUAGCUUUGACACAGUUCAUUUUCCACUCGGGUGAAAAGGGGUCCCUCAGCAUGCACUGCUAUAUAUCCAUGUGAUAAGGGAGAGUCUGUCCUGUUCCCUCCUCUCAGCCCUUCACAUCCCUGCCACUCCUCACAUGUCGCUUUAGAAACACCCUGAGCUGCAGCUGCACAAACAUCUGCGACCACAUUAAAUGAACUUAAGCCUCUCAUUUUUAAGGCCACAGAGGUACAGCUGUGCCAGUGCUGGGCUUUACACCUGACCUGCAGGGGGUAGGUGGCACGGACUGAUGGCAGGCCUGCCGUGAGUUCCGAGAUCACCUGUGCCAAGGUGGGACUCAGGGAAAUCAAGAACCCAACCACACUCCAGGACUUUGUGGAGACCCUGAGACCUCCCAAGAAUGGCAAGGUUGUGGCAUCAUCUGAAUGUGGGAAUGACUGGUACUAGGGAAGCAAUUAUUAGUAAAUAAUUUACCAAGAAAUGGGACUUCAGAGAAAUGAAACCAGUUGCAAAUCCAGACGUAAUUCAACAAGCACUUUUGACUGGAAAGCGAGUGUGGGAGAUAAAUUUUUAAAAUAUCAAAACAUUUCAUUUCAAGGCAAUUUUCCUGAAUUAUUCUUUUCUAAAUGCCAAAAUGCUGUGAAUGGUCAUUUUCAAAGUGAAUUUCUGACAUUUCAUUUCAAGCCAGCAUUUUGCAUUUAAAACUUGACCCAGAUUGAAAGAUGAGAGGUCAGACACAAGAGCCUAAUAACCACAAAAUAAAACCUGCUAUUUCAAGUUCAGCAGAAUGUUUCAAUCUCUGAGUCAUGCCAUUUGAAAUAAAAAAUAAAAAAUCACCACAGAGCUCCUGCGUAUCCAGGUCAACAUGCCCCUAUAUGACACCUCUGAGGUGGUGGAGUCACUGGAGCAGAAACAGACGGUGUGAUGGGGCAAAAAACCAGCCAGCAGUGGCCUGAAAUGAACUUGAAAAUGCCCUUGAGCAUCCCAGACAGAAUUUCACUCUUUUAUCAAUAAAUUUCACUUUGAUCUCAAUAAGGCUGUUUAUGGUGGGAUAUGCACCUCUUAGGGAUGUUUGUGUAUGUUCAGCUUCAUGGGUAGCAACAGA